Non-coding RNA from Prunus mume (Japanese apricot), 2175 nucleotides. NCBI's taxonomy places the organism in Eukaryota, Viridiplantae, Streptophyta, Magnoliopsida, Rosales, Rosaceae. The record is from RefSeq and is a predicted model, not a curated record.
AUGUCGGGUGAGUCCGAGACUGAAGGCAAGGCCAUAGGCAUCGACCUUGGCACAACCUAUAGCUGCGUCAGUGUGUGGCAAAACGACCGUGUUGAGAUCAUCGCCAACGACUAGGGCAACCGCACCACUCCCUCCUACGUGGCCUUCACAGACACCGAGCGGCUCAUCGGCGAUGCAGCCAAAAACCAAGUGGCCAUGAAUCCACAGAACACCGUCUUCGACGCCAAGCGUCUCAUUGGUCGGCGAUUCUCCGAUCCAUCAGUCCAAAGCGACAUGAAGCUCUGGCCUUUCAAGGUCAUCCCUGGUCCCGGCGACAAACCCAUGAUCGUCGUCAGGUACAAAGGCGAAGAAAAGACCUUUUAUGCGGAGGAGAUAUCUUCCAUGGUGCUGACGAAGAUGAGGGAGAUAGCUGAGGCUUAUUUGGGUCAGACCAUAAAGAACGCUGUGGUGACUGUCCCUGCUUAUUUCAACGACUCCCAGAGACAGGCUACCAAGGACGCCAGCGCUAUUUCUGGGCUCAACGUCAUGCGAAUUAUCAACGAGCUCACCACGGGCGCUAUAGCCUAUGGGCUGGACAAGAAGGCCUCGAGAAAAGGUGAGCAGAACGUCCUUAUUUUCGAUCUCGGCGGAGGCACUUUUGAUAUCUCGUUUUUGACUAUUGAAUAGGGGAUAUUUGAGGUGAAGGCCACCGCCAGCGAUACUCAUCUUGGUGGUGAAGAUUUUGAUAAUAGAAUGGUAAAUCACUUUGUGGCCAAGUUCAGGAGGAAGCAUAAGAAGGAUAUCAGUGGAAAUGCCAGAGCUUUGAGGAGGUUGAGGACGGCGUGUGAGAGGGCUAAGAGGACCCUGUCUUUGACCUCUCAGACCACAAUUGAGAUUGAUUCUUUGUACGAAGGGAUUGAUUUCGCGACGAUUACAAGGGCCAGGUUCGAGGAGUUGAAUAUGGAUUUGUUCAGGAAGUGUAUGGAGCCGGUUGAAAAGUGUCUGAGGGAUGCUAAGAUCAACAAGAGUCAGGUUCACGAUGUUGUUCUGGUUGGUGGGUCGACUAGAAUUCCCAAGGUUCAGCAACUUUUGCAGGAUUUUUUCAAUGGGAAAGAGCUGUGCAAGAGCAUAAACCCGGACGAAGCGGUUGCCUAUGGUGCUGCGGUUCAAGUUGCGAUCUUGAGCGGCGAAGGAGAUGAGAAAGUGCAGGACCUGUUGUUGCUCGAUGUCACGCCUCUCAGUCUUGGGGCAUGAGACAGCUGGUGGUGUUAUGACUACUCUCAUCUCGAGGAACACAACAAUUCCAACCAAGAAGGAGCAGAUUUUCUCUAUUUACUCCGAUAAUCAGCCAGGGGUUUUGAUCCAAGUCUACGAAGGAGAGCGCGCCCGAACCAAGGACAACAAUUUAUUAGGGAAGUUUGAGCUCACUGGGAUUCCUCCUGCUCCUAGAAGCGUGCCCCAAAUCAAUUUGUGCUUUGACAUUGAUGCGAAUGGCAUUUUGAAUGUGUUUGCUGAGGACAAGACUGCUGGAGUGAAGAACAAGAUCACCAUCACCAACGAUAAAGGAAGGCUGAGCAAGGAAGAAAUAGAGAAGAUGGUGCAAGAUGCAGAGAAGUACAAGGCAGAGGACGAGGAGGUGAAGAAGAAAGUGGACGCCAAGAAUGCGUUAGAAAACUACGCAUAUAACAUGAGGAACACGGUGAAGGACGACAAGUUUGCAGGGAAAUUGGACCCUGCGGACAAGGAUAAGAUCGAGAAGGCAGUGGAGGAUGCCAUUAAUUGGAUGGAGGGGAACCAGCGGGCUAAGGUUGAUGAGUUGGAGGGGUUAUGCAAUCCAAUAAUUGCUAAGAUGUACCAGGGUGGUGGUGGUGCUGGAGGCAUGCCGCCUAUGGGGGAUGAUGACAUGUCUGGUGGUGCUUCUACUGGCUCUGCGACUGGACCUGGCCCUAAGAUGGAAGAAGUUGAUUAAGUUGUUUCUAGUGGAGCUCUGUUUUCGUUUUUGGGGUCUUAAAAGUUUUUGUUGUUCUGUUUUUGGUUAAGCUUGUAAACAUGUGUUUUUUGAGUUUUUUUUUUAUAAAAAAAAUCCCUAAGUAGUGUAUGUUUAUAUGUAAUAGAGAGUCAGCAACCAAUCUAAUAUAAGAAGUUGGGUUUACUUUUUUGGUUCAUAGUGAGACUUGUCUUAUCAAAAAAUGAUAA